RNAcentral lists this unclassified non-coding RNA (214 nucleotides) under Hevea brasiliensis (rubber tree). Lineage: Eukaryota; Viridiplantae; Streptophyta; Magnoliopsida; Malpighiales; Euphorbiaceae. The record is from RNAcentral.
UAGUUUAUAGUCCCCUUGUGCCAUCACAGCCUCAUUAUAAUUUAAAUCUUCAGAGUAUUGCUGUCAAUGGACAAUUGUUACCGAUUGAUCCGGCAGCAUUUGCAACAUCAACUAACCGAGGAACUAUUGUUGACUCUGGAACAACUUUGGCAUAUCUUGUGGAAGAGGCUUAUGAUCCUUUUGUCAGUGCUGUAACUGCUAUGGUCCAACCAUC